Candidatus Woesebacteria bacterium RBG_13_36_22 is the source of this 88-nucleotide non-coding RNA. The record is from Rfam. Lineage: Bacteria; Candidatus Woeseibacteriota.
GGUGGGGUGGCCGAGUGGUUCAAGGCGAAGGUUCGCUAAACCUUUGUUCCGUAAUAGGGACGCGCAGGUUCGAAUCCUGUCCCCACCG